GAGUUUGAUCAUGGCUCAGAAUCAACGCUGGCGGCGUGCCUCAGACAUGCAAGUCGUACGAUUAAAGCUCUCUUCGGAGAGUGUAUAGAGUGGCGCACGGGUGAGUAACACGUAAGUAAUCUACCUUCGAGUGGGGAAUAACAGUCGGAAACGACUGCUAAUACCGCAUAAUGCAGCGGCACCUAAUGGUGACAGUUGUUAAAGCAUUUAUGUGCUUGAAGAGGAGCUUGCGGCAGAUUAGCUAGUUGGUAAGGUAAUGGCUUACCAAGGCAACGAUCUGUAGCCGACCUGAGAGGGUGGUCGGUCACACUGACACUGAAUAACGGGUCAGACUCCUACGGGAGGCAGCAGUCGGGAAUUUUGGGCAAUGGGCGAAAGCCUGACCCAGCAACGCCGCGUGAAGGAUGAAGUAUUUCGGUAUGUAAACUUCGUAAAAAUGGGAAGAAUAAAUGACGGUACCAUUUGUAAGGUCCGGCUAACUACGUGCCAGCAGCCGCGGUAAUACGUAGGGACCAAGCGUUGUUCGGAUUUACUGGGCGUAAAGGGUGCGUAGGCGGCGUGUCAAGUCAGUUGUGAAAUCUCUGAGCUUAACUCAGAACGGUCAACUGAUACUGUCAUGCUAGAGUGCAGAAAGGGCAAUCGGAAUUCUUGGUGUAGCGG
This 660-nucleotide ribosomal RNA is filed under the name uncultured bacterium. RNAcentral's name for it is "bacterial SSU rRNA". It matches the Rfam family "Bacterial small subunit ribosomal RNA", at positions 9 to 681 of the family's 1533-position model. The record is from RNAcentral.